This 550-nucleotide ribosomal RNA is filed under the name uncultured Glomeromycotina. RNAcentral's name for it is "SSU rRNA". It matches the Rfam family "Eukaryotic small subunit ribosomal RNA", at positions 548 to 1098 of the family's 1831-position model. Lineage: Eukaryota; Fungi; Glomeromycota. The record is from RNAcentral.
UUGGAGGGCAAGUCUGGUGCCAGCAGCCGCGGUAAUUCCAGCUCCAAUAGCGUAUAUUAAAGUUGUUGUAGUUAAAAAGCUCGUAGUUGAAUUUCGGAAUCUGUCCAUCGGUCGGGCUUCACUGUCCGUACUGGUGUGGUGGGUUCUUACCUUCUGAAUAACCAGCAUGCCAUUCACUUGGUGCGCUGGGGAAUCAGGACUGUUACUUUGAAAAAAUUAGAGUGUUUAAAGCAAGCAUACGCUUGAAUACAUUAGCAUGGAAUAAUGAAAUAGGACGUUUGAUUCUAUUUUGUUGGUUUCUAGGAUCGACGUAAUGAUUAAUAGGGAUAGUUGGGGGCAUUAGUAUUCAAUUGUCAGAGGUGAAGUUCUUGGAUUUAUUGAAGACUAACUACUGCGAAAGCAUUUGCCAAGGAUGUUUUCAUUAAUCAAGAACGAAAGUUAGGGGAUCGAAGACGAUCAGAUACCGUCGUAGUCUUAACCAUAAACUAUGCCGACUAGGGAUCGGAUGAUGUUAAUUUUUUAAUGACUCAUUCGGCGCCUUACGGGAAAC